ACUCCUACGGGAGGCAGCAGUGGGGAAUAUUGCACAAUGGGCGCAAGCCUGAUGCAGCCAUGCCGCGUGUAUGAAGAAGGCCUUCGGGUUGUAAAGUACUUUCAGCAGUGAGGAAGGUGGGUAUGUUAAUAGCAUAUUCAUUUGACGUUAGCUGCAGAAGAAGCACCGGCUAACUCCGUGCCAGCAGCCGCGGUAAUACGGAGGGUGCGAGCGUUAAUCGGAAUUACUGGGCGUAAAGCGCAUGCAGGUGGUUUGUUAAGUCAGAUGUGAAAGCCCGGGGCUCAACCUCGGAAUUGCAUUUGAAACUGGCAAACUAGAGUACUGUAGAGGGGGGUAGAAUUUCAGGUGUAGCGGUGAAAUGCGUAGAGAUCUGAAGGAAUACCGGUGGCGAAGGCGGCCCCCUGGACAGAUACUGACACUCAGAUGCGAAAGCGUGGGGAGCAAACAGGAUUAUAUACCCUGGUAGGCCUGC
This 472-nucleotide ribosomal RNA is filed under the name uncultured bacterium. Its description in RNAcentral is "bacterial SSU rRNA". It matches the Rfam family "Bacterial small subunit ribosomal RNA", at positions 335 to 798 of the family's 1533-position model. The record is from RNAcentral.